ACCUGGUUAGCUCAAUUGGUAGAGCGCUCCACUAGAAAUGAAGAGGUCCCUGGUUCAAUACCAGAACCAGGAG
RNAcentral lists this transfer RNA (73 nucleotides) under Ixodes scapularis (black-legged tick). It matches the Rfam family "tRNA". Rfam says of the family: Transfer RNA (tRNA) molecules are approximately 80 nucleotides in length. Their secondary structure includes four short double-helical elements and three loops (D, anti-codon, and T loops). Lineage: Eukaryota; Metazoa; Arthropoda; Arachnida; Ixodida; Ixodidae. The record is from Rfam by way of RNAcentral.